RNA transcript from Stegastes partitus (bicolor damselfish), 3835 nucleotides. It is a transcript of the gene named transmembrane protein 86A, with no coding region annotated. The transcript has 4 exons. The record is from RefSeq and is a predicted model, not a curated record. NCBI's taxonomy places the organism in Eukaryota, Metazoa, Chordata, Actinopteri, Pomacentridae.
CUCUCUUACAGUGCAACAUAAACAAGAGGACAGAAACCAAUUUAGACACUGUUCACCUUUCUUUUUUUUUUACCGACACGGACAGCACCAAGGGAGACAUGGUUUCUCCGGUAACAGUGGUCAAGAGCGAAGGCCCUAAACUGGUGCCGUUCUUCAAAGCGACCUGCGUGUACUUUGUCCUGUGGCUGCCCACCUCGAGCCCGUCCUGGUUCAGCGCCCUCAUCAAAUGUCUGCCCAUCUUCUGCCUGUGGGUGUUCCUGCUGGCCCACGGCUUCAGCUUCCUCGGCGCUCACUCCAGUGCCCGCAAGAUCUUGGCUGGUCUCAUCUUUUCUGCGCUGGGUGAUGCCUUUCUGAUCUGGCAGGAGCAGGGCUACUUCGUCCACGGCCUUCUGAUGUUCGCCAUCACCCACAUCCUCUACUCCUCUGCCUUCGGGAUGAAGCCCCUCAACAUGCGAGCCGGCCUGGUGAUCGCCGCCGUGUCCUCUCUGAGCUACAUGCUGCUGUACCCCUACCUGUCCGGCCCCUUCACCUACCUGGUGGCCGUCUACAUCGCCCUGAUCGGCUUCAUGGCUUGGAGGGCCGUCGCCGGCUUGCAGCUGGCCAACGACCUGUGGACCUGGACCAAGCUGUCGGCCUGCCUCGGCGCCGUGCUCUUCAUGGUGUCCGACCUCACCAUCGCCGUCAACAAGUUCUGCUUCCCCGUGCCCCACUCGCGGGCCAUCAUCAUGGCCACCUACUACGCCGCCCAGAUGCUCAUAGCGCUGUCUGCCGUCGAGUGCCAGGACGUGGAGGUGGCCCGGAAGAGGACAUGAGGCACGGCGGUCUCCAGAGCGCGCGAGGCUGGGAUGGUGGCUCCCCCUCCGGCCCGGAGUGAUCGUGGACACGUCUCACUGCCAGAUCCCCAACCCGCAGCCUUCAUCUCAGUGUGGCGCUCCCACACCGUCGUCACCACGGCGACGGGCCCCCCGCAGUUUUUACGCCGCUAUCACCCACUAGCAUGGUAGCGUCACGCGUGACGACCCUGACAACAGUCCUACCUGCCUCCUCCAAAACCUAGAACAGCUGUCUCCCGACCUAGUUACCAUGGAGACGAGCGUAGAGAUAUUAACCUGCUACGUAGAGAGGAUUAACUUAGUUUUACUGCUAUGUUUUAAUUUAACGGGAGCAUGUCACUGGUCACCUUUUAAGGGGUGUGUAUGGGAGAGCGAUGUUGUGUGUGUGUGUAUGUGUUUCUGAGUGUGAGUGAGAGUGCUGCCUUCGUCUUAACUGUUGCGUGAACGUGUGCUUGUGACAAGUCAGAACCAACUCGAGGCCAGAAAUGCUGUGAACCGUUUAUAUGGAGUAGACACACUACUGGAUGUUUCAUGUACUCUCACGAGGCUCUUAAACCCGUCUUCAUCCCUCCCCCUUUUUGUUUUGCAUGUAUUGUUAAUUAGGAAAAACCUUUAAGUUGGUGUUUGAUCCCAAACUUUGGGAGAUCUUCACUUUAACGGGGAUCAUUUCAUGCCCAGUAUAUGUCGGUGGCAUUACGGCUAAUACCACUAAGAGUUUAUUUUUAAGGAAGGAUUAUUACAAAAGUAUCGUAGGAAUUGAAAGUAUUAAUCACUAUGAAAAAUCAGCAAAGGGAGAGAUAUUGUUGUGUAAUAGUUGAAUCUAGAAACACCCAAAUAUCAGGUAUGCUGUAUCCUGUAUCUGUUUAUACAAUAGAGACGCAUGGAAAAGAAACAAACCCUUGUUAUGGGUACCUCCUGCUGGGUCAGCGACCCCUAGAGCUGUCGGUAACGCACCCUUAUACGCACAAGAAAGAAAAACACACACACAUCAAAACGUGUUUAUGCACCACACCGGCCACCAUGACGGAUCUGCAGGCGGACCGUGGUGUUGACACCAACAGCUCAGUUCAUGCUUUGACCAAGAAAGACGCUCGGCCCAAGUGGCUGUUCUCGACUCCUGCUUUGCCGGAUAGUUCCUCAAUCUCCUUUCAUCCUGUCAGCACAAUCUUUCUGCUUUGUCAGUCAGAAGUGUUUCAUCAGUCUGGCUGCUCGUCUUCUGCUCCGUGUUUUAAUUUGUCCUCCCAGUAUCGCGGCGGCGGCGUCGCCCUCCUCUCAUCUUCUCAUCCACCUCACCGGUGGCCAGCGAUUAAUAUUAGUCUUUGCGCUGACAGGCUUUGCUCGCAGACAUUUGUGUUUAUUCUGUCUUAAAUCAGGGGUUAGCAGAGAUGCUAGUUAGCACAGCUGACUCUAGCACGCAGCCUCGAGUACAACUAUGAGGGGAAGGCAAGAUUGAGUCAAGCAGUCUUACUCAUCCGUACUAUGUGGGCAAUUUAUGUAAGCACUACUUACUUUGUCCUCUGCCGCACAAAGCCUGCUGACUUUUGUUCCUACAGUUGUAGUGGGUCCACACCAGGAGACAUGCUUUAUUUAGAAGUGUUUUUUUUUUUGUUUUGUUGGCCAGUUCACACUCCGAAAAGUCACUAUGAUGCUAGUUAUUGUGCCUAUCUGGAGGACUUAGUUCUAAUUACCUCCUCCAAAAGGGCACAAAUAACCAAAGCUUAAGGCACAAUAGAAAACUGAACUCAUUUAGUUGGAGGCCUCUCGUGUAUCAGACGACCUAUUGUUUUUGGAGGUGACGGUCGCCUCCUCGCUGGUGCAGGAUUGCUUCUGGCCUUCCAGUUAGGAAGGAGGUUAUUGUUGAGCGAUACUGUAGCUGGAAUUAGGUUAGGAGGUGAAAUAUGACACACAGGGGAAGACUCUCUUUCCAUCCGGCCCUGUUAGCUACCAUCCUGUUCCCCCCCCUACAGAUGGCCGGCCAGCGGGCGCAUCACUUUACCUCAGCCUGUCAACAGCCCUGUUGUUCUGAGCUUUGUGUGUGCAGACAAAAGGGACCUGAGAGGGCUGUGGGAGGCCAGCACGGUCCGGCCUCCGCUGCUGGUGUUGAGCUGGAACCAGCAGCUAGAAAGAGAGCCUGUGGUCCUCUGAAGAAGUUGGCACUUUUCUUCGAUUUAAACUUUUUUUUUCUUUGAUUUGAAACCUUUGCUGUUGAUGCGCUGUGGAUCACGCAGCCGCCACAUUCGAACCACAGAGCUGUAAAGUUUGUAUAUUUUUACUCGUGCAUGACAAGUAGGUUGAAAUGAAUCCUCCACACCUUAACCGUCACUAUACGCCCGGGUGUUGUUGUUACUGCAGCUGACGGUCCUGCAUCGUUAGAACGAGCUAACGAGAAGCAUGUAACCGUCUUCUCUUUUGUUGUGUUCAAUCGACCGUGUGCUGCACUUUUCUGUACCCGGGGUAAGGCCAGUCAGUCUCUCUUUUAAACUUACAGUGUUUAAAACCAAGGAUUGUUGUGUACUGUAUCCUCUGAAGUAUAUGCUCCUUUUUUUUCUUGAUUUUUUGUUUUCCUUGAAGAGAGAGAAAGUUUUGAAAGUGACAAAUCAAACGUGUGAGAAUCAGCAUUUUUCCUUUAAAAUGCGUUCUUGAAGUGUUACCGACCUGUAUGUAUAAAUCUUUCUUAAAAGUGUUAUCUGAAAGCCCCAUUUUAAUUAUUUUUUCACAUGUCAACUGUGGGAAAAGCCAAGUUUGUUCCCCACAAAUAACUUUAUUUUUUUUUGAAAGCCCGUCACAAUGCAUCGUUUUGACUUCCUUUUAUGACAUUUUUUUUUUAAAAUCUUUUUUUAAAUUCUAUAAUAUACUCUAGGCGACCUUGUUGUCCUCGAUUUCCACUUUGUGAUUUAUUUCUUUCAUGACUGUAGAGAUGAAAUAGUUUCUUUGCUGUAGUGAAACUGCUAUGAAUGUGAAUAUCUAUUGGAGAAAUAAAUGCAAUUACAAUGCAACUUCAA